CUCUACUCUGGUCCUUGUCCCGCCGCACAACAAAAUAAAAAAUCAGUUUGAGUUGAGAGGGAGGACGUGGUGAUUUGAUCAACUCUACACAAGAAAUAGGGGUUCCAAGUGACUCCGAGGAGGUGUUGUGAGGGGUAGUUGGAUUAUUUUCGGACUUGAGAGAUUCGGGAUUAGGUGGAAUUGAGGAUUUGCCAAAUUCUUAGAACAAAGCAAAGAAUAAUUCGAGAUUGUUAUUGUCUUCUAGGCGAAGGUUAAAUAAAGUCUUUAAUGUUUAGUUGAUGAAUUGAGAGUUUGUAAUAAUGAGAUUCUUUCUUUAGGUUGAGAUUUAUUUGGAGUUGAGGAAUAUUUAUUUUUAUCAAGUUAAUUAGCUUAGUUUGACUUUUGGGAUUAAAGAGAAUUUUUAUUGUUGGUUUUAGUUCAAUGAAGAGAUUUGUUUUAGUGCUCUUUUAAUGAAUGUAUAUUUUGGAGGACUU
Long non-coding RNA from Asparagus officinalis (garden asparagus), 473 nucleotides. RefSeq lists it as uncharacterized. Lineage: Eukaryota; Viridiplantae; Streptophyta; Magnoliopsida; Asparagales; Asparagaceae. The transcript is spliced from 3 exons. The record is from RefSeq and is a predicted model, not a curated record.